CAAGUAGGCGAGGCAAUCGCCCCCCUUCACUUUAUACAGGCUUCCAAAACAAAUUUUACAAAGUUAUUCUCAAUACAGAAUUUAUAAAUAAAAUGAAAGUCCGUAUAAAGUGGUGGGGGGAGGAAAGUCCGAACACCAUUGAAAGUAGCAGCUAACAGCUGUCGGCCGUGAGGCUAGAGGUGCGAACAGUGACGCUGAAGCGCGAAAGCGCUGAAGCGCCGAGCGCAUUUGUUAUGCGCUUGGCGAAUCUUAUUGGAAACUUUAAGAAUGAAACGGCUAAAUCCUUACUGGGUGCAAGAGCAAACCCCCAUCUUUUUAACAAAAGAGAGGGUAAAAAAGUAGCUCGCUUGAGCCAAAGAGUAAUUUUUGGCCCAGAUAGAUGAUUGUCCACGCCCGCCAAAAUUUCGAAGAAAUUUAGGCGGGCAAGACAAAAUUCGGCUUAUUGCCUGCUUGAGUU
RNAcentral lists this RNase P RNA (457 nucleotides) under Candidatus Nealsoniibacteriota bacterium. RNAcentral describes it as "Candidatus Nealsonbacteria bacterium RNase P RNA component class A". It matches the Rfam family "Bacterial RNase P class A". From Rfam's summary of the family: Ribonuclease P (RNase P) is a ubiquitous endoribonuclease, found in archaea, bacteria and eukarya as well as chloroplasts and mitochondria. Its best characterised activity is the generation of mature 5'-ends of tRNAs by cleaving the 5'-leader elements of precursor-tRNAs. Lineage: Bacteria; Candidatus Nealsoniibacteriota. The record is from RNAcentral.